GAUGAAGAACGCAGCGAAAUGCGGUACGUAGUGUGAAUUGCAGAAUUCAGUGAAUCAUCGAAUCUUUGAACGCACAUUGCACCUCUCGGUAUUCCGGGAGGUAUGCCUGUUCGAGCGUCAUUUGUACCCUCAAGCUCUGCUUGGUGUUGGGUGUUUGUUCCGCCUCUGUGUGUGAACUCGCCUCAAAACAAUUGGCAGCCGGCGUACUUGUUUCGGAGCGCAGCACAUUUUGCGAUCCAGAUCAACGUACAGCGGCAUCCAAGAAGCCUUAUUUAACGCUCUUGACCUCGGAUCAGGUAGGGAUACCCGCUGAACUUAAGCAUAUCAAUAAGCGGACGA
Molecule: unclassified non-coding RNA, 339 nt
Filed under: soil metagenome
Description: partial contains 5.8S ribosomal RNA, internal transcribed spacer 2, and large subunit ribosomal RNA
Rfam family: 5.8S ribosomal RNA (bases 1-120)
Source: RNAcentral